GUACUGGUAGUUGUGUGGUAGAGUUUUUGCCUACCAUGUAGAAGAUCUGAGUUCAAGUCUCAGCUGGGUCA
This 71-nucleotide transfer RNA is filed under the name Alligator mississippiensis (American alligator). It matches the Rfam family "tRNA". From Rfam's summary of the family: Transfer RNA (tRNA) molecules are approximately 80 nucleotides in length. Their secondary structure includes four short double-helical elements and three loops (D, anti-codon, and T loops). Lineage: Eukaryota; Metazoa; Chordata; Crocodylia; Alligatoridae. The record is from Rfam by way of RNAcentral.